This 376-nucleotide unclassified non-coding RNA is filed under the name fungal sp. RNAcentral describes it as "partial internal transcribed spacer region". The stretch from base 1 to 46 matches the Rfam family "Eukaryotic small subunit ribosomal RNA", at positions 1786 to 1831 of the family's 1831-position model. The record is from RNAcentral. Lineage: Eukaryota; Fungi.
AAGUCGUAACAAGGUAACUGUAGGUGAACCUGCGGUUGGAUCAUUACAGUAAUUACCCCAGAGGGGAAAGAAGGGGCCGGCGACGUUUCGUGGUCCAAUUUUGUGAAUGCGUUUCCGUCUUUUGGCUAGCGGGGGUAGGAUGUUGCGCGCAUCGCGUAAAGGAGAAAUUCUCUGGGAGGCCUCCAGACCUCGCUCGGUGCGCCCCACCUGCUCCUCUAAGUGCUUAAAGGGCAGCUCGCCGCAGAAUCUCUCGUGCCCCCCCGAACAGAAGGGGGGUUUCCAGGGGUGAUGCAUUUGUCGUUCUUUGGGUAUCUGGACAUUGGCCGCAGAAACUGAAAGAAAAAAACAACUUUUGGCAACGGAUCUCUUGGCUCUU